GCGGUGUGCGAGGGCUCUGUCAUCACUGGUUGCAGGUUUAAAUUUAUAUAAAUUUUUUUCCUUUUAUUUUUCUUUAAGCCGUCCUAAUGUUCUCCAUGUUUGUGUCUGUGCAUGAUUUGUCUGUCUGUGUCUGUUAGGACAGAAGUGAAGUAAGGGUGGGGCAGCAUGACAGCCAUCUACGAUCACACGGAAGUCAAAAUGGGAAACAGACAGGCAAAAAGGUGGGGGCAUUUUUAACAUGCUGGCGAGAAAUAUGGAGAGAAAUGUGCCUCAAAAGGGUUACAGACGUGUACAGUGAUUGCAGAGGGGAAGAAACUGUUCUUGUGGCGAGAGGUUCUGGUGCGAAUGGACCGGAGCCUCCUGCCUGAGGGGAGCAGGUCAAACAGACUGUGUCCAGGGUGAGAAGGGUCAGCUGAGAUCCGAGCUGCACGCCCCAGUGUCCUGGAGGUGUACAGGUCCUGCAGAGAUGGGAGUCUGCAGCCAAUCACCUUCUCAGCAGAGCGCACAACACGCUGCAGUCUCUGUUUGUCCCUGAUAGUGGCUCCAGCGUACCACACGGUGAUGGAGGAGGUGAGGAUGGACUCGAUGGUGGGCUCCCACUUCAGGUCCUGGGUGAUGGUGGUACCCAGGAAGCGGAAUGAGUCCACAGAGGUGAUGGG
This is a long non-coding RNA of Astatotilapia calliptera (eastern happy), 659 nucleotides long. The record is from Ensembl. Lineage: Eukaryota; Metazoa; Chordata; Actinopteri; Cichliformes; Cichlidae.